Mirounga angustirostris (Northern elephant seal) is the source of this 12215-nucleotide RNA transcript. It is a transcript of the gene named bisphosphoglycerate mutase, with no coding region annotated. Lineage: Eukaryota; Metazoa; Chordata; Mammalia; Carnivora; Phocidae. The transcript has 5 exons. The record is from RefSeq and is a predicted model, not a curated record.
AAUAGGCAGAGCGCUAGGACCUCCCCCUUCGGGCUCCAGAGCUAGAAAAGAGCGUCGAUGCCGGCGGCAGUGAUGAGUUGUAGGAGGAGCUGGGUGCUUGGCGUUGCUGAGGAGCGGCUGCUGCUACUGCUGCUGCUGGUGGCCUCUUUACAGAUGUAUUGCUGUCAUUGAAUAUUGGCCCAUUUGAAAGUGCUAGGGAAGCUCAAUCAUCAGGAUGUCCAAGUACAAACUGAUUAUGUUAAGACAUGGAGAGGGCGCUUGGAAUAAAGAGAAUCGUUUUUGUAGCUGGGUGGAUCAGAAACUUAACAGUGAAGGAUUGGAGGAAGCUCGGAACUGUGGAAAGCAACUCAAAGCACUAAACUUGGAGUUUGAUCUCGUAUUCACAUCCAUCCUGAAUCGGUCCAUCCACACAGCCUGGCUGAUCCUGGAAGAGCUGGGCCAGGAGUGGGUUCCGGUGGAAAGCUCCUGGCGUCUAAAUGAGCGUCACUAUGGAGCUUUGAUCGGUCUCAACAGGGAGCAGAUGGCUUUGAAUCACGGUGAAGAACAAGUGAGGCUCUGGAGAAGAAGCUACAAUGUGACCCCACCACCCAUUGAGGAAUCUCACCCUUUCUACCAUGAAAUCUACAAUGACCGGAGGUAUAAAGUGUGCGACGUACCUGUGGAUCAGCUGCCCCGAUCUGAAAGCUUAAAGGAUGUUCUGGAGAGACUCCUUCCCUUUUGGAACGAAAGGAUUGCUCCUGAAGUAUUAAGUGGCAAAACCGUUCUGAUAUCCGCUCAUGGAAAUAGCAGUAGGGCUCUCCUGAAGCAUCUGGAAGGUAUCUCCGAUGAAGACAUUAUCAACAUUACUCUUCCCACUGGAGUCCCCAUUCUCCUGGAACUGGAUGAGAACCUGCAUGCUGUUGGGCCCCACCAGUUCCUGGGUGACCAAGAAGCUAUCCAAGCCGCCAUUAAGAAAAUAGAUGAUCAAGGAAAAGUGAAAAAACAAGCUGAAAAAUGAAGGGUUCUGGCUGCACUGGUGAUGAAGAUGGCUGGGAAGAAGAGCUGACGUUGGUGUGCUCACAGCUGACCACAUCUGUGACGCAUAAGGACGUGGAAUCUUUUCUGUAGGUUUGAAAUUUUUCAAAAUGAGACCAGGAAAACUAAAGUGACAGGAGGAAAAAAAAAACGCACAAAGAAGCAACUAAAACAACCUCUCUAUAGUGACUUGGAUAAAGGUACCUGCUUUCUGUGCCGUUUCACUCUUCCUGAAAUCUCAGUCCUUGUUAGGUGAGAGAAGAACUCCUCACGCCUGUAUUGUCAAGAAACAAGUACCCUCAUUUUAUUUCAGUUACGCUUGGUGCUGCAGUUAUAGGCAUUACACCAACACUUAGCUUUUCUGCUGAGAGAGCAAAUCAGGAACGGGGUUACGAUUGCCAUUACCUUGUAGCUGAACAAAUGGGAAAUGGAAUUUCUUUCUCCUGGUGCAAAACUUUCUGUUUAAUCUCCUUUACUGCCUUAGGGUGGCAUUCCUUCUCACUGUCACCAUUUGGCUCCGAAACCUUAUGUAAUGUCUGGGCCUAGGGUUCCUUGAAUUUGAGCUCGCUGCAGUGGCAGGCUUGCAAAUGUUCCUCGUGUCACUCAUCUCAGGGUCCUAGCCCCCACCCGAAUCCAUAUGACUCUGAAGCAGCCUUGGUUUCUGCUCUUCCUCCGUGCAUCCUUCUGCUAAGACUGCUGAGGGUCAGAGGCCUGCAGUGACUGGCUCUCACUGCCCCAAACAACAGGCAAAUGGACCGUGUUGGUACUAAAGAUUUGCCUUUUAUUUAUGCUGUGAUUGACCAUGUAAGCCUUCAGUCUAGUCUCGCUUAAAAAACAAAGUUUGUGAAAAAGAUCCCAUUUUCGUGAAGGAAGCUCUACCUCUCAAGACAGUUUUAUUGCUCAAUCUGUUCAUUUAAUUCUCUGCAAAGCCAAGUUUUUUUAGACUUCAGCAUAGCCCAGUAAACACAAACGCAACUCCAAAGAACCAGCGCCUAGUUUCCAGUGUGCAGAAGAUAGAUGCCUACUGAUAGUAACUUUAGCAACCGUUGGCCAAGAUGUCAGAUGGUCACUUUCUCACUUUCUCAAUAAGGCAACUGCAGCGCCGAGUUUACUCAAGGAUUUUUCAUGAAUUCACCCGAGCCUCACAGCUACUGCAAAGGGAAUGUCCACCAACCAUGCUGCCUUGCCUCCACUCGAGAGGAAACUUCAUUUGACAUAAUGCUGACCUCGGUGAGGAAUCAGAGGGUUAUUAGUGAAAUUCAUUGCAUAAAAUCUACCCUGUUAGUGAGAAGACUCUUGGGACUAAUUGAAACUGGACCUUGGAACAAAGAGGGUAAAGUCCAUCACAUAGUUAUGUGCCCACUGGCCACUUGGAUUGAGGCCCUUAAUCCAUUCUGACACUUGUUCUAUAGAAUAUCCAUCAGAGUUCCCCAGGCAGUCCUUGGCCAUAGGUUAGCUAGUCAGCAUUUUAAUUUCUUAAGCACACUAGGAUUCUGAACUGGACUGUAGGGAAUGGGAUUUGUAGCUGGAAUUCCACAUACUUUCCCGGGAGUCUUGGUAUUUUAUAAUCUUUAUUUUUUAAUCCUUAUUUAAUCUUAUUUCUACACCCAGACACUGGGGGUCAGUAUUUGUUCAUAAAUGCCUCUGGAUUUGCCUGCAAACCUGGUUCUGACUAUUUACAAGAGGUCAUGGCCAAAGAGGCCUGAAAUCGGUUGUGGGAUUUCUUUCCCUGAUUAUGUAACUGUAGAGCUCAGCCGAUGUAAACAUAGAAUGUAAAUAGAGACCUCAUGGAUCCCCAUGGAAUUGUAACCUGGGAAAGAGGCAGACAUGAAUAAAUAUAAAUUUAGAUUUUCAAUCUAAAAUAUAAACUCAUACCAAGUCCUUGCUGGUUUCUGGAGUCUUGCUGGUGUCUGGCAACAGGGGUCCUACCAAUGCACUCGGAUGCUCAGCCAGCAUCCUGGCUGUCACCGUGACUUCCUUCUGAUCAGUUACAGAGUCCUGUUGAUUUUCUUUCCUUGUUCCUUUCAAAUCCAUCUCCUCUCUAUCCUCCACGCUCAGGCCCUGGGUCACAUCCUCAGCUUUGCUCUCUUUAAACAUUUCAAACAUUGGUCUCCCUCCUUCUACUUUUACUCUUCUCCAGUCCUCUCCAAAAAUUUGUCGGGUGACUUUUCAAAAGCUCUGCCACACAGAACUUGAUGCAGACUUUCAGGGACACCAACACGUUUUUAAGGAUCUGCCUUUGCCCUCAUCGUCUAUCACCUGCUCCUUACCUGCCUAGUAUCUGCUCAUCCCUCAGGACUUGUAGGCUCCCUUAGAGUCCCUGGCUUACCUAUGCCAGACCUCACUUGUCCCCUUGUCCCUUCUCUUUGCUGGCAGGAGAAUUGAACAAAUCCCAAGUCCUCCACCUCAUGAAGCUGAGUGCCAGACAAGAUCAUGCAGAUUUACUCUCCAAAAUUUCAAAAAUGUAUCCCCCUUGAGCCCUGGACUGUUCAUUUUUAUUGAUUCUUUAAAAUAGUUCUCGUCUAGCAGAUAUUUGAUCUUAAUCUGUACUGUGCUCUCUGGCUAUCUUCCCAUCAGUCCACACAGAUGUGGAAACCCUGCUGCUGAUAGACAGAGAGCCAAGUGAAGCCAAGUGGCCUGACAGCUCAGAGCAUUUCUCCAUGGGCAGCUGCCAUCAUGGUGUGCAAACAGGUUAAUGACUUGUGUUCUUGCUUUUUAUUCAAAUUACAGAGUUAAAUGUAGCAGUAUAAAUAUUUUGAAAACAAGUAGAGAAGGGGCGCCUGGGUGGCUCAGAUGGUUAAGUGUCUGCCUUCGGCUCAGGUCAUGAUCCCAGGGUCCUGGGAUCGAGCCCCACAUCGGGCUCCUGGCUCAGCGAGGAGCCUGCUUCUCCCUCUCCCUCUGCCUCUCUCCCUGUUCAUGCUUUCUCCCUCCCUCUCUCUGUAUCUCUGUGUCUCAAAUGAAUAAAUAAAAUCUUAAAAAAAAAAAAUUAAAGUUUAAAAGAAAAGAAAAUAAGUAGAGAAGAUUCCUUAAUCCUAUUAUCCUGAAAACUAUUUCAUUUAUUUCUUCCUAUAUGCAUUUUUCACAUAGAUAUAUUCUUAAUUUACAUUCCAUUGUGUGUUUUUUAAUCAUAAAUAUUUCUCCGUGGUUCAUGGGCUUCAAACAAUCUUAAUAUAUGGGUAAAUAUUGGCCCAUCAUUUGGAUAGAACUUAAAUGUCCCAACAGGGAAAAAAAAAUUAGAUGCUUUCAAUAUUCUGCUAUAAUAACUAAUUCUGUUUCUAUAACUUCCUUACAGGCCCAUCUUGAAUGUGUGUGAGGUUCAGUACAAGAGCACAAUGGCGGCCCACAUGCUACUUGUCUAAAUAUUUUAAACUACCAAUCAAGCUAACAAACUUACAUAAAAGGUUUUGUAUGUUUUAUGUAACCUGACAAAUACACCUUCAAAACAAAAAGUAUUUUAAAAUAUGUAGACAUUUUCUAUGACUGAAAGCCAGCAAACAUCAAGAAUGGUUAUGGAAGUCUUCUCUGAAAAGAUUUCAUAUAUACUAAACCUUGAAUGAUACAACCCAUGUGUCAGGGUGUGCACUUGUGCAUAUGCGUGUGUGAAUGCUAAGGCAGAAAAGGGGUAUUUAAGAAGUAGGUAAUAGCUAAAGUCAGGGUAGCUUGGGCACAGUAAUGAGCAGUGAAGCAUCAUGGGAUGGGAUUAGAGAAGUAGACAGAAGCUACAUUGGGCUAUGUGAGAGGGAUGGAAGAUAUGAGGAAGGUCUUCUCAGCAGAAGAGUGGUCCAGUGGUCCAAGCCCUUCUGGCCACAAAGAGCUUCAGCCAUUUGAGCAUAGUCUCCCCAAGGCAACAUUUUACUUUCCACUGUUGUGAAAUCUAAUCCCUAUGAGAAUCAUAGAUCCUAUCAUCUUUAAAGAGAGAUUAAGCCUCCCAAAUAUAUGAAUCACUGAGAGAACUGAAAGGAGAAAUGGACAGCAAUACAAUAAUAGUAGGAGACUUUAAUACCUCCCCUUCAGUUAGGCUAGAACUACUAGACAGAAGAUCAACAGGGAAACAGAGGACUUGAACAACACGAUGGAACCAAUUGGACCUAAGAGACAUAUAUAAAACACUGCACCCCAAAACAGCAGAAUACACAUUCUUCUCAAAUGCACAUAGAACAUUCACCAAGAUAGAUCACAUGCUAAGUCACAAAGUAAGUCUUAACAAAGUUAAGAAGGUUGAACUCAUACAAAGUAUCUUCUUUGACCACAUGAAAUGAAACUAGGAUUCAAUAGCAGAAAGAAAACAAAAAUCAGCUAAAAUAUGGAAAUACAUAAUUCACUUUUGAAACAAUAAGUCAAAGAAGAAAUCACAAGGGAAUUUAGAAGAAAUCUGGAGGUAAAAUGAAAAUACAACAUUCCAAAAUAUAUGGAACAGUAAAAGCAGUACUAAGAAGAAAGUUUAUAGUGACAAAUGCUUACAUUAAGAAGAAAGGUCUCAAAUCAACAAUCUAAUUUUGCAUCUCAAGGAAUUACAAAAGGAAGAGCAAACUAAACCAAAAGUUAGCAGAGAGAAGGAAAUAAUAAAGAUUAGAGCACAGAUUAAUGGAAGAGAGACUAGAAGCAAUAGAAAAAUUAACAAGACCAAGAAUUGGUUUUUUGAAAAUAUCAACAAAAUUGGCAUAUCCUUAGCUAGACUCAGAAAAAGAGAUGAAACUCAAAAAUUAAAAUUAGAAAUGAAAGAAGGGACAUUACAACUGAUGUCACAGGAGUAAAAUGAUUAUAACAGACUACCAUGAACAAUUAUAUGCCAACAAGCUGGAUAACCUAGAAGAAAUGGGUACAUUCCUGGAAACAUCAACCUACCAACACUGACCCGUAAGAAAUAAAAACAAAAAAAAAUCAGAAUAGACUUAUAACUAAUAAAGAGAUUAAAGCAGUAAUCAAAAGCCUCCCAACAAAGGAAAGUCCAGGACCAGAGGCUUCACUGGAAAAUUCUACCAAAUAUUUAAAGAAGAAUUAAUACCAAUCCUUCUAAAACUUUUCCAAAGAACUGAAGAUGAGGGAACAUUUUCAAACUCAUUCUAUGAGGCCAGAAUUACUCUGAUGCCAAAAAAGAAAGAAAAGCCACUCAAAUUGGAAAGAAAAAAGUAAAAUUAUAUCUGUUUCACAGAUGACAUAAUUUUAUAUGAGAAAACCCUAGGGAUUACACAAAAAAACUGUCAAAAUGAAAUUAUUUUAACAAAGUUACAGGCUAGAAAAUCACACAAAAAUCAACUAUGUUUCUAUACACUAACAAUGACCAAUCUGGAAAGAAAAUUAAGACAACAAACUCAUUUACUAUAAAAUCAAAAAGAAUAAAAUACUUAGGAAUAAACUUAAUCAAGAUGAAAAUCUUGUACACCGAAUGCUACAGAACAUUGCUAAAAGAAAUUAAAGAAGAUACAAAUAUAUGGAAAGACAUUCUGUCUCAUGGAUUGGAAGAUUUAACGUUGUUAAAAUGUCCAUACUAGCCAAAGUUAUCUACAGAUUCAGCACAAUCCCUAUCAAAAUCCCAAUGGCAUUCUUUGCGGGGAUAGAACUAAAUAUCCUAAAAAGGAAUCUCCAGAGACCUGCAAUACCCAAAGCAAUCUUGAGGCCUCACACUGCCUGAUUUCAGAACAUACUACAAAGCAACAAGACUGUGUAGGACUGCCAUAAAAACAGGUAUAUAAACCAAUAGAACAGAACAGAGAUCCCAGGAAUAAAGUUUUGCAUGAUAUGGUCAAAUGAUUUUUGAUAAACAUGCCAAAACUACACAGUGGGGAAAGAACAGUCUCUUCAAAUGGUAUUGGGAAAACUGGAUAUCCAUAUGCAAAAGAACUAAGUUGGACCUUACCUUACACCACACAUAAAAAUCAACUCAAAAUGGUUUGAAAACUUAUCCACAAGACCUAAAAAUAUGAAACUCCCAGAGAAAAUUUAGGGAGAAAGAUUCAGGACACCGGAUUUGGCAAUGAUUUCAAAAGCACAGGCAAUGAAAGCAAAAAUAGGCAAAUGGAACUAUAUCAAAUGUAAAAACUUCUGUGCAUCAAAGGAAACUUUGAACAGAGUGAAAAGACAACCUACAGAAUGGGAGAAAAUAUUUGCAAAUCAUAUAUAUAAGAGGUUAUAUCCAAAAUAUGUAAGGAAUUUCUACAACUCAACAACAACAAAAAACAACCCAAUUUAAAAAUGCGCAAGGGACUUGAAUAGACAAUUCUCCAAAGAGAAUAAACAAAUGGACUACACACAUAUGAAAAGAUGUUCAACAUCAUUUAUUAUAAGAGAAAUGCAAAUCAAGGGGCACCUGGGCGGUUCAGUUGGUUAAGCGUCUGACUCUUGAUUUUGGCUCAGGUCAUGAUCUCAGAGUUGUGAAAUUGAGCCCCACCAUCAGGCUCCGUGAUUCUCUCUCUGCCUCUGCCCCUCCAACCCCUCUCUCCUCCUCUUUAAAAAAAAAGAAAAAAUGAAAAAUGCAAAUCAAAACUACAUUGAGACAUCACUUCACAUCCCUUAGAAUGGCCAUUAUCAAAAGAACAGAAAAUAACAAGUGUUGGCAAGGAUGCAAAGAACUCUUUGGCACUGUUGGUGGGGAUGUAAAAUGGUGCUGCCAUUAUGAAAAACAGUAUAGAAGUUCCUCAAAAAAUUAAAAAUAGCAUUACCAUAAGAUCCAGAAAUCCCACUUCUAGGUAUAUAUCCAAGAAUUCAAACCAGGAUAUUGAAGAGAUAUUUAUAUACCUGUCAAUUACAACGUUAUUCACAACAGCCAAGAGAUGGAAGCAACCCAAAUGUCCACUGACAAAUGAAUGGAUAAAGAAAACGUGAUAUAUACAUACAGUGGAAUAUUAUGUAGACUUAAAAAAGAAGGAAAUUCUCUCACCUGCUACAACAUGGAUGAACCUUGAGGACAUUCUGCUAAGUGAAAUAAGCCAGUCAGAAAAGGGGAAAUACUGUAUGAUUCCAUUCAUAUGAAGUAUCUAAAGUAGCCAAAAUCAUACAAGCAGAAAUUAGAAAGGUGAUUGCCAAGGCCUAGGGGGAGAGGGGACUAGUAGUUAAUGGUUAUAGAGUUUCAGUUUUGCAAGUUGAAAAAGUUCCAGGGAUCCUGCUGCACAACAGUGUGAACAUAUUUAAUUAAACUGUCCACUUAGGGCGCCUGGGUGGCUCAGUUGGUUAAGCGACUGCCUUCGGCUCAGGUCAUGAUCCUGGAGUCCCGGGAUCGAGUCCCGCAUCGGACUCCCUGCUCAGCAGGGAGUCUGCUUCUCCCUCUGACCCUCCUCCCUCUCAUGCUCUCUCUCUCUCAUUCUCUCUCUCAAAUAAAUAAAUAAAAUCUUUAAAAAAAAAUUUUUAACUGUCCACUUAAAAAUGCUUACAUUGGUAAAUUUAAUGUCAUGUGUUCUUAUGAUAAUAUAGAAAAGAGAUUAAGAGAAAGAUGUCUGUACUUUUUUUUAAAGAUUUAUUUAUUUUAGAGAGAGUGUGUGUGUGUGGAAGUGGGGAGAGGAGCAGAGGGAGAGAAUCUCAAGUAGACUCCCCACGGAGCGUGGAGCCCAAUGCGGGGCUGGAUGCCACGACCCUGAGAUCACAACCUGAGCUGAAAUCAAGAGUCAGACACUCAACUCUCUGAGCCACCCAGGCGUUCCAAGACUUCCACACUUCUAAAUGCACCACUGCUGGAAAUGAUGUCAUGACAAGCAUCAAAAUGAAACGAAAACGACGAUGACUAUUUUUAUGACUGUCAAAGUCAUGCAAAAGUACUAUAUUUGAAAUCUUGAUUUUAACUUUUACCAUACAGGUGUCAUGAAUUACUCCCAAAGAUGAUUCUCUGAUGCAAAGUAAGCCUGUCUUAGAUCUCGUUAAAUCCUCACAGCAAUACUACAAGGAUGCAUUCUCACCUGACAGAGGAGCCUCAGAGAAGCUGAGUAACUGGCCCAAAGUCACAAAGCUAAUAUAGGGCUGCCUCAGGAUUCAAAUCCAGGGCUCUCUAACUCCACAGCCCAUGCCCUUGGCCACUACACCAUACUGCUUUUAGUUUGAAAAAAAAUUUUUAAAUUGAGAUGUCCGUUUAAAAUUGGCCAAAGAUUAUCCAAUGAAGCUACAGUGAGCAAAUCCCAUUUUCAUUCUCUUACAAACUAAUAUGGUGCCACAUAAGUCCAACAGAACACUGAGUGGAGCUAGAGAGCUUAGAUUUUUCACACAAAAUUUAAGUGUUUGCUUUUCUCCAUGAGACAAAUAGAGUUUGCUUUCCUUCUUUUCUCAAACCAUCUGCUUUGAUAUUUGGGGAGUCCUGAGCUUAUGUGUUAAAGCCUCGCUGGAUUAUAUGAAUACAUACAUAGGAAUAGGUGAGCUGAACAUUUUACUUGCCAAAAAGUAAAACAAACAUUGUGCCUUCUUCAGUAUGCGGUAUUUAAAGCCACAGCGCUCCAGCCUUGGAAAACUAUCAGUGCCAGGAUCCCCAGUCAGAAACAGUAGAAACCACUCUCGCUAGUCUAAACAAAACAGGAGUUUGUUAAAGGAUAUCAAGUGCCUCACAAACUUCUUGGGAAGGCCAGAGAAUUGAGCUUGGAAGGCCACUCUGCUGAGAAUAACACCCAAAGCAUGGAGUGGGGAUGACUCCAGCAAGGACUCCAAUGCCCCCGCCAUUGGGCACAGACACUGUAGCUCCCAGCGAUGACUUUGGGCACUGUGCUAGAACAUCUGCUGCUGCUAUCCCAAUUGGCAACGGUCUAGUAGAUUGCAAAAACAGCCAUAAAUUCUUCUUUUCUCCUGUAUCCAUCCAUCCAUGCUCCUUUACCAGGAAACUUUGAAUGACCUCCCACCUGAUUCUGGGCUCAGCCAACGGGAUGUCAGGAAAGAGACACUAGCAGAGACUUGAGAAGCCUGCGCACUAUGGAGCUUGUCUUCUUUUGGAACCCUGAUGCUGCCACGUAGAGAAACCCAAGUUGACCUGCGGGAUGAUGAGAUAUACACGGCACAGUCACUCCUGCUACCCAAACCUACAGCUUGUCAACCACCAGACAUGGAAUUUGAGGCCAUCCUAGAUCUCCCAUCUCUUAGGCAACCUGCCAGUUCACCAUGGACACAUGAGUGAGCCCAGCAAUGAUCAACGAAGCUGGCACAGACCACACAGUCUGGCCAACCCACAAAAUCACAAGCUAAAUAAAUGGUGGUUAUUGUAAGUCACUAUGUUUGGGGUAUCAGCAGCAAAAGGUACCUGAUAUUAGUUUACUAAAUUCUUUCACAUACCUUAUCUCACUCUCCUCUACUCACAACUCUCUACGGCAGGAGAAGCAGAUAUAUUAUCCACAUGUUCCAAGGGGAGGAAAUUAAGCCCCACAGAAGCUUAAUGACUUGCCAAAUGUCAAAGUGCUAAUAAAUAAAAAAGGUGGAUUUAGAAUGGAGGUUACCUUGACCCCCUAGUCAAAAUAUACACAUCAACCAUAUUGUUUUGUUUGAGCCAAAGCAGUAGCGCAAUAUGGCUUCAGCUUAGCCAAUGGUUCUGCCAACAUAGUCCUAUCUCCUCUGAUUGCCAUCUGAACUCUUAAAAUUCAAGAGGGGAUCCCUCUGUCAAAAUCUGUUCCAUCACUUAGAGGCAACUAUCAAGUAGCCAGACUGGGCUAGAGUUUCAGGUGAUCGUAGGGAAUAAGCAGGCAAAUAUCUCCUGUGAAGAGCAUACUUUGGAAGAAGUCAACAUUUCUUCAUCUCUAUGGAUCUCUGCUCUGGUCUCCCACUUGCUGAUAAACUCUUACAGAUGCUAGCAUAGGUAAGAGGAUUGAACGUGUUAUAGGCAAAUAUAUUAGGAUGGAAUUUGGGGUCAGUACUAAUAUGAAGGCAAGCUCUUCGUUCUAUUAAGGAGCUUAACUCAAGUUUGUUGUUAGCUAUGGUUCUAGGAGGAAUGUGCAUGGUUGUUAUGAAGUGGGAAUGAUAAAAUACUGUUGGUGUUCAUUAGCAGGGUUCACAAAAGCUUUCAUGGGGAAUAUAGCAUUGAAGCUGGGAUUACAGCAGAAGAAUGGGAGGACAGGGAGGUGAGCAAGUCUGGCAGGAGGCUGGCUAGAAGGGGUCUGAGAAAAUGGGAAGACCCAAAUAGACUAAGGUAGGUUUUAAGCAGAAAUGACCAGAAAUAACCUUAACUGAAAAAGAGAAGUGGUUCAUAAAUGCACCAAUUCUAGGAUUUGCUGGCAAUAAGAAAUCAAUGAAACAGGUACUAGCUUAUAAUCUGAAGAAGAAAGAAAGGGGCUGGUGUAGGGAAACAUAAUGAGUUUCAUUUUGAAUAUGUUGGGCUUAAAGUAUCAGUAGAUUAUCUUUAUGGGCAUGUCUGUGACCAGUAAAAAACAUAGCGCUGGACCACAAAAGAGAAGCCAAUGGGUUCAGCUGUGAUUCCCACCUUGUAGAGUUUUGUGAGAACGAAAUAGGAAAAUAUAUCUACAUGUCUAGUGGAGUGCUUAGCCACAGAAGAAAGUUUAAAUUACCGUUCAGUUCCUAGAAUAAACAGUUUCCUUACCCCACUUUUUCCUUCUCCCUUGGCAGUGGGGAAUCCUGACUUUGAAUGUUUCCUAGGAUCUGCCAAGACUACCUGAAAGACCUUUGCCAAGUGCCCAUCAUCAAGAAUGGUUUGGGAACCCUGUUCUAGAGAAAACAGUAUGGUGGUUUUUUAAAAAAUUAAAAAUAGGAUCACAGUAUGAUUCUGCAAUUCUACUUCUGAGCAUAUGGCCAAGAUAAUUGAAAGUAGGGUCCUGAAAAGAUAUUUGUAUACCCAUGUUCUCAGCAGCAUUGUUCAAAAUAGCUAAAACAAGGAAACCACCCAAAUGUCCAUUGACAGUUGAAUGGAUAAACAAAAUGUGGUAUGUACAUACAACACAGUAUUACUCAGCCUUAAGAAAGAAGGAAAGUCUGGGGCGCCUGGGUGGCUCAGUCAUUAAGCGGCUGCCUUCGGCUCAGGUCAUGAUCCCAGAGUCCUGGGAUCGAGCCCCGCAUCGGGCUCUCUGCUCAGCGGGAAGCCUGCUUCUUCCUCUCCCGCUCCCCCUGCUUGUGUUCCUGCUCUCUCUCUGUCUCUGUCAAAUAAAUAAAUAAAAUCUUUAGAAAAAAAAGAAGAAAGAAGGAAAUUCUGACAUGGGCUACAACACAGAUAAACUUUGAAGAUAUUAUGCCAAGUGAAAUAAGCUAGUCACAAAAAGGCAAAUACUAUAUGAUCCCACUUGUAUGAGAAUUUA